GGAAGUCCUGGACCGUCUGGUCCUCAGGGCCCACGAGGACUGACUGGACAAAAAGGAGCCAAAGGAGAAUCUGGUGAGAGUAUUGAGGGUAAACCAGGCACCCAAGGAAACACCGGAGACCCUGGUGAUCGGGGUCCCCGAGGACCUCCUGGGGAAAUUGGAAGUAAGGGUGAUCGAGGACAGACUGGACCACCUGGUUCAGAUGGAGCCAAGGGAGACAGAGGCCUUCCAGGUCAGGCAGGAGACAAG
This is a long non-coding RNA of Sinocyclocheilus rhinocerous, 249 nucleotides long. RefSeq lists it as uncharacterized. The record is from RefSeq and is a predicted model, not a curated record. The transcript is spliced from 5 exons. NCBI's taxonomy places the organism in Eukaryota, Metazoa, Chordata, Actinopteri, Cypriniformes, Cyprinidae.